GAAGUAAAUAAGAGUUUUUGUAUUUAAAUAUUUUUUUCCCUUCCUAUUUCUAAUAUUGUCAUUUUUAUUUUUCCUAUAUGCAUUUUAGAUAUCUCUGAAAUGUAUGAGCUUGGAUAUAAGUCAGACGUUCAUGUAAAACUUUGCGACAUCCCUUAGAUAUUCGAAUUUCCUUGUCAGUUAGCUUACAAAUUAUUGUGUGUAACAUUUCAUUAAUCGGCAAGCAUGCCCAAAAUUAAAAAACGUAUCCAUUCUAAAGUUUGCAUGAAAAUUAAUGCAUCAUUGAAUGAUACUGAUGUAACUAGGCUGUCCGAGUAUUCAAAAUCUGUCUGUGAAUGUCAGUCGCCAGCAACACCACUUGAAAUAAAUAAUAAAUCUAUAUGUGUACUAUCUUUGUUUAAUUCUAAUGUAACUGUUUUGAUCGAAAUAGGUUAAUCCUCAAUAAAUUCAACUUGAAUUAACACCAAUCAAGAAGAUCACCCAUCGAAUUUAAAAAAUGAUUUGGCAAUAUCGGCUAUUGCUGAUAACAAGCCUCAAUCUACAAUCAUUAAUUUGUUAAAAGUUUUAAAGAAAUAUCCUUGUGUUUCAGACUUGCCUUUAGAUGCCCGCUCACUGCUUCAAAAACCUCGAUGUGUAAAAUGGAAAAUAUAUCUAAUGGUGUGUACCAUCAUUUUGGAAUUGAAGUAGGAAUUAAGUUUAUUUUAUCUGAGAUAGACUCUAAAAAUUUAUUAGAUCUUAAUCUAAAACUACUUGUAAAUAGUGAUAGUUUGCCUUUAGCGAAUAGUUCAGGUAGUCAGUUAUGGCCGAUUUUGGGAUCAUUAAGUUACAACUUGAACUCAAGGUGCAUUCAAGUUAUUGCACAGGAGCCCCAUAGGUAUAUUCCAUUCAAAUCAGAAACCAGAAAAUCCAAAUCUGUUUUUAAACAAGUUUAACAAAGAAAUGAACAAAUUAUUUAAGAAUGGUAUCGUGGAUAAUGGGAAGCAUUAUAAAAUGCAUCUGAAGGGAAUGAUUUUUGAUGCCUCUGUCCGAGCAUUUAUAUUGUGCAUUAAAAGUCAUUCGGGUUAUUCCAGUUGCAACAGAUGUUUUCAGGAAGGAUUAUAUUUUAAAAAGAGAGUUUGUUUUCCUCAAGUAGAUUUUGUUGAAAGACUGAUACAGAUUUCAGAAACAGACUUGCAGUUGAUAACCAUUAUAAAUGUGACCCUGAAUGGUUGAAAAUUGUGGCCCUGUAUCUCAAGUCCCAUUUGAAUACAUACAUCUUGUUUGCUUAGGGGUUAUGAAAAAGCUCAUAAAAUUAUGGCUAAAAUGUGAUGUUAAAUAUUGACUGUUAAACAGUCUGUCAGAGGCAAUCUUUGUUAAACUUUUCGGUUUUACUUCAAGCAUUAGUAAUGAUUUUGUUAGAAGACCAAGGACGUUAAGAGAUUUCGAAUGCUGGAAAGCUACAGAAUUCAGACAAUUUUUGCUUUUCCUUAGGUCAAUAGUUUUAAAAGGCAGCUUACGAAAUGAUCUGUACAUGUACUUUUUACUAUUACAUUGUUCAAUAAAGGUUUUUAUAACUAAUUCUAAUAUUGCCAUGAUGAAUUUUGCUCAUUCUUGGCUGCUAUGUUUUGUUAAAGGUUUUCCAUUUUUAUACAGAAAAGAACAUGUCUCACAAUAUUCAUUGCUUACUCCAUCUUUCUAAAGAUGCAUUAAUUCCAUCUCCAUCUUUUUAAAGAUGUAAAAAAUUUUAACUUAGAAUUUUGUUUUCAUUUUUUAUAAUACUAUUGUUAUUUCUUUAUUCAUGUGUAUAUCUAAAAUGUGUAAAUGUUUAAAAGUAUGUUUAAUACUGCAUUAUAUGGAUAAUGACCAAGUGUAUCAAAACAAUGUUUCCAUGCUGACAUGAUUGCUUGAAUCUAAUGGAUUAUUGUAUAUAUAAAGCUUUUAAUUUUAAGAAAUCAUGAACUUAGAAUUUCUUUAUUUUAAUUUUUUUUUUGAUAUUGUAAUUGCUUUAUUCAUGUAUAUAUCUGAAAUAUGUAAAUGUUCAAAAGUAUUUUGAAUUAUAUGGAUAAUGCCAAACAAUUUUGAAAUUGUUAAGUUUCUAUUGACUGUUGAGGUUGCAGUUGUGCCAGUGACCUGGUUGUCAACAAAAGGAAGUGUGUGGCCUCCUUUAAAAGCGUAUGAAGUUGGGAAACUUGUUGUGAAGCUAACUAAGGCUUCUCCAGAUUGGAUUCGCCAUGAAGCAGAACUUUUGGAAACAGACGAAGAUGAACGGAAGGACCUCUCUAAAGCUGAAGAAAGAUCGGAUUUGGAAUCCGAUGCUGAGAAAGGAAAAGGCGUGAAAUCACUAAAAAAUUUAAUAUUGGAUCAUCAUCAGAUUAAGAUGUGCCUCCAUUGCUAAGCAAUUCACUUACAUUUUCCAAAUCUACAGGUAUCUACUGUUCCUGUAGAUUUCUUUCUUGAAAGUCGGCCCAAGGAGCUACAGUUGUCAGAAAGCAGUGUAGUUAUUGCUGUUAACGAUGAGACGCCGGAUCUUAUAUUUCAUAACAUACCUGCUGAGGAUGAUACAUCUCCUAUUCUGUGUGAGGAUUUAUAAGGAUCAUCCACAUUCACCACUGCUAAUGCCGUGACACAGCAUAAUUCUGAAGAAGAAUUAAAUUUUAUUCUUCCCGUAUCUUCAAUGGAAGAUAUUGAUCAAGUAGAAAAGGAGUUAACAGAUUCCAAGACUCAAGAAAUUUUAAUAGUGCUGUGAGGAGAAAUCCUUCGAUCCAGGACAAAGUAACGCCAUAAAAUUGAAAAAGCUAUAAAAAAAAACUGGUUGCAGCAUGCAAAAGCAAGAAAUGUUUCUUCAUUAGAAAAUUUUAAAUUGUAAAUUUACUUUUUUGCAAAUAAACUAAUCUAGAUUUAUACCCUUA
This is a long non-coding RNA of Parasteatoda tepidariorum (common house spider), 2885 nucleotides long. NCBI's taxonomy places the organism in Eukaryota, Metazoa, Arthropoda, Arachnida, Araneae, Theridiidae. The record is from RefSeq and is a predicted model, not a curated record.